This 73-nucleotide transfer RNA is filed under the name Tinamus major (great tinamou). RNAcentral describes it as "tRNA-Asn". RNAcentral also lists the same sequence under 1 other name. Lineage: Eukaryota; Metazoa; Chordata; Aves; Tinamiformes; Tinamidae. The record is from RNAcentral.
UAGGCAGAAGCCUGUUGGAUGGGGCACUUAGCUGUUAACUAAGGGGUUGUGGGAUCAAAGCCCACCUGUCUAG